This 519-nucleotide ribosomal RNA is filed under the name uncultured bacterium. RNAcentral describes it as "bacterial SSU rRNA". It matches the Rfam family "Bacterial small subunit ribosomal RNA", at positions 28 to 545 of the family's 1533-position model. The record is from RNAcentral.
GACGAACGCUGGCGGCGUGCUUAACACAUGCAAGUCGAACGGGGCACCUUGGAAAGAGAUUUCGGUCAAUGGAAGAGGUCGCUUAGUGGCGGACGGGUGAGUAACGCGUGAGGAACCUGCCUUUCAGAGGGGGACAACAGUUGGAAACGACUGCUAAUACCGCAUAAUGUACGUGGAUCGCAUGGUCUGUGUACCAAAGAUUUAUCGCUGAGAGAUGGCCUCGCGUCUGAUUAGCUAGUUGGUAGGGUAACGGCCUACCAAGGCGACGAUCAGUAGCCGGACUGAGAGGUUGGCCGGCCACAUUGGGACUGAGAUACGGCCCAGACUCCUACGGGAGGCAGCAGUGGGGAAUAUUGGGCAAUGGGCGCAAGCCUGACCCAGCAACGCUGCGUGAAGGAAGAAGGCUUUCGGGUUGUAAACUUCUUUUAAGAGGGAAGAGCAGAAGACGGUACCUCUUGAAUAAGCCACGGCUAACUACGUGCCAGCAGCCGCGGUAAUACGUAGGUGGCAAGCGUUGUC